Small nucleolar RNA from Erinaceus europaeus (western European hedgehog), 126 nucleotides. Ensembl annotates it as small nucleolar RNA, H/ACA box 26. The record is from Ensembl. Lineage: Eukaryota; Metazoa; Chordata; Mammalia; Eulipotyphla; Erinaceidae.
CUGCCCGACUCCCUAUACAGUGUUUUCAGAGAUGAACACAGGAGGGUGAAGUAAGUCUUCCUAAAACCAAAGUUCCAAAGAAGAGAUUGCAAAACUCUUCUUUGGAACUUGUCUGGAGUCAUAGCU